GACAGAGGCCCCGAGCGUUAAUCGGAAUUACUGGGCGUAAAGUGUGCGUAGGCGGCGCCGCAAGUCGAGUGUGAAAGCCCCGGGCUUAACUUGGGAACUGCGCUCGAAACUAUGGUGCUGGAGUGUGGCAGAGGAAGGUGGAAUUCCACGUGUAGCGGUGAAAUGCGCAGAGAUGUGGAGGAACACCGAUGGCGAAGGCAGCCUUCUGGGCCAACACUGACGCUCAUGCACGAAAGCGUGGGGAGCAAACAGG
RNAcentral lists this ribosomal RNA (253 nucleotides) under uncultured bacterium. RNAcentral describes it as "partial 16S ribosomal RNA". It matches the Rfam family "Bacterial small subunit ribosomal RNA", at positions 524 to 776 of the family's 1533-position model. The record is from RNAcentral.